RNAcentral lists this ribosomal RNA (222 nucleotides) under uncultured bacterium. RNAcentral describes it as "partial 16S ribosomal RNA". It matches the Rfam family "Bacterial small subunit ribosomal RNA", at positions 113 to 334 of the family's 1533-position model. The record is from RNAcentral.
CGACGUGAGGAACCUGCCUUUCAGAGGGGGACAACAGUUGGAAACGACUGCUAAUACCGCAUGACACAUCGGAGGGGCAUCCCUUUGAUGUCAAAGAUUUUAUCGCUGAAAGAUGGCCUCGCGUCUGAUUAGCUAGUUGGUGAGGUAACGGCCCACCAAGGCGACGAUCAGUAGCCGGACUGAGAGGUUGACCGGCCACAUUGGGACUGAGAUACGGCCCAG